UCAAAGGGCCGAGUCAGAAUCUGGCU
RNAcentral lists this non-coding RNA (26 nucleotides) under Homo sapiens (human). Lineage: Eukaryota; Metazoa; Chordata; Mammalia; Primates; Hominidae. The record is from RNAcentral.